RNAcentral lists this ribosomal RNA (267 nucleotides) under Triticum aestivum (bread wheat). Its description in RNAcentral is "partial small subunit ribosomal RNA". Lineage: Eukaryota; Viridiplantae; Streptophyta; Magnoliopsida; Poales; Poaceae. The record is from RNAcentral.
AUGUUUGAGAAAUUUGGUGAAGUCUUGUAUGAAGCAGGGCAGUACAAGAUAGAAGAAGUGAGCCAAUGGAAAUCAUAUUUAGCGCGGCGACACCACCUAGAGGAGCACGACAAAUGGUGCAGAGUAGUCUACAAGGUUGAAGUUAUUGAUGAUGGCGCAGCAAUAGUGUGUGAGUGUGGUAAUUUUGAACACAUAGGCUUGCUUUGUUGCCACGCAUUAAAGGUAAUAUAUUUUAUCAUCCAUCAAAGUAUAGUAGAUUCUCAUUGA